GUGGGGAAUCUUAGACAAUGGGCGCAAGCCUGAUCUAGCCAUGCCGCGUGAGCGAUGAAGGCCUUAGGGUUGUAAAGCUCUUUCAGCUGGGAAGAUAAUGACGGUACCAGCAGAAGAAGCCCCGGCUAACUCCGUGCCAGCAGCCGCGGUAAUACGGAGGGGGCUAGCGUUGUUCGGAAUUACUGGGCGUAAAGCGCACGUAGGCGGAUCAGAAAGUCAGAGGUGAAAUCCCAGGGCUCAACCUUGGAACUGCCUUCAAAACUCCUGGUCUGGAGUUCGAGAGAGGUGAGUGGAAUUCCGAGUGUAGAGGUGAAAUGCGUAGAUAUCUGGAGGAACAUCAGUGGCGAAGGCGACACCCUGGACCGAUACUGACACUGAGGUGCGAAAGCGUGGGUAGCGAACAGGAUUAGAAACCCGGGUAGUCC
RNAcentral lists this ribosomal RNA (425 nucleotides) under uncultured bacterium. RNAcentral describes it as "partial 16S ribosomal RNA". It matches the Rfam family "Bacterial small subunit ribosomal RNA", at positions 354 to 796 of the family's 1533-position model. The record is from RNAcentral.